Photinus pyralis (common eastern firefly) is the source of this 630-nucleotide long non-coding RNA. RefSeq lists it as uncharacterized. Lineage: Eukaryota; Metazoa; Arthropoda; Insecta; Coleoptera; Lampyridae. The record is from RefSeq and is a predicted model, not a curated record. The transcript is spliced from 3 exons.
UUUGUUAAUGAGUUAUGUCGCACCACACAAUCAACACCCUUUCUAUUAUUAGUUUGUAAGAACAUUAAAACCUAAGAAGAAGAAUUUUCACUAUUCUUCGCAAUAACAAUUUCAAAUAAGUUUUUUAGAUGACAGCCGUGCGUUAAUACGUUAUAUUACAAGGUAAGCAUCGCAAUUAGGAAAACAAAAAAUGGAAUAUUAUAUCGCUAUUCAGACUGCCAAAAAAUCAGCUCGCGGUUCAAGAGUAGCUAUAAAUCAGCGCCGUUGCUACGGAAUAGACAUAGUUUCUUUGCUACAGUCGAUCUAUUUGGAUAUAAGAUGUUAAGGGGGGUGGUCCUUUUUGUUGCGUUUUACGUGUGUUAUGUAAUGGCUAGACCGGAAGUUCUUGAUUUAAUGCCUGCCGAAACAGCUCAAAGAGGUGGCUGGGGCUAUGGGGGCGGCGGUUGGCAAGGAGGAGGCGGCGGCGGUGGUGGCUGGGGACAUGGCGGCGGGCACGGCGGCGGCGGUGGCAGCUGGGGUGGACACGGUCACGGUCACCAUCACCACCACCACCAUCAUUAAUUAGACAGUAACGCCCAAUGAAAUUGUACAUAAAUCAUUUUUUUACUAAUAUAAUAUAACUUAAAUGCA